Molecule: ribosomal RNA, 120 nt
Filed under: uncultured bacterium
Lineage: Bacteria
Description: partial 16S ribosomal RNA
Rfam family: Bacterial small subunit ribosomal RNA
Source: RNAcentral
CGCGCUGUAAACGAUGGAUGCCCGCUGUUGGGUCAACUGGUUCAGCGGCCAAGCGAAAGCAUUAAGCAUCCCACCUGGGGAGUACGCCGGCAACGGUGAAACUCAAAGGAAUUGACGGGG